Molecule: ribosomal RNA, 498 nt
Filed under: uncultured bacterium
Lineage: Bacteria
Description: partial 16S ribosomal RNA
Rfam family: Bacterial small subunit ribosomal RNA
Source: RNAcentral
GGAUGAACGCUGGCGGCGUGCCUACUACAUGCAAUUCGAGCGAACGGCCGAGAAUCUUGCUUCUCUGAUGUUAGCGGCGGACUGUUGAUUAACACGUUGAUAACCUACCUAUAAUACUGGGUUAACUUCGGGAAACCGUAGCUAAUCCCGGAUAAUAUUUUUAACCUCAUGGUUCAAAAUUGAAAGACGUUCUUGCUUUCCCUUAUAGUUGUUUCCGCGCUGCAUUAGCUAGUUGGUAAGGUAACGGCUUACCAAGGCAACGAUGCAUAGCCGACCUGAGAGGGGGAUAGGCAACACGGGAACUGAGACACGGUAAAGACAAAUACGGGAGGCAGCAGUAGGGAAGAUUGCGCAAUGGGCGAAAGCCUGACGGAGCAACGCCGCGUGAGUGAUGAAGGUCUUAGGAUCGUAAAACUCUGUUAUUAGGGAAGAACAUAUGUGUAAGUAAAUGUGCACAUCUUGACGGUACCUAAUCAGAAAGCAACGGCUAACUACGUG